UACGGUUACACCACAUUAAAACAAAGGUUCCCUUACGAUCACCGAAGUUAAGCAACGUCGAGCUUGUACAGUACCUAGAUGGGUAACCGCUUUGGAAUAGCAAGUGCAGUG
Molecule: non-coding RNA, 111 nt
Organism: Acanthosepion pharaonis
Lineage: Eukaryota; Metazoa; Mollusca; Cephalopoda; Sepiida; Sepiidae
Source: the annotation of a GenBank genome assembly